Molecule: ribosomal RNA, 505 nt
Filed under: uncultured bacterium
Lineage: Bacteria
Description: partial 16S ribosomal RNA
Rfam family: Bacterial small subunit ribosomal RNA
Source: RNAcentral
GACGAACGCUGGCGGCGUGCCUAAUACAUGCAAGUAGAACGCACAGUUUAUACCGUAGCUUGCUACACCAUAGACUGUGAGUUGCGAACAGGUGAGUAACGCGUAGGUAACCUGCCUGGUAGCGGGGGAUAACUAUUGGAAACGAUAGCUAAUACCGCAUAAUAUUAAUUAUUGCAUGAUAAUUAAUUGAAAGGUGCAAUUGCACCACUACCAGAUGGACCUGCGUUGUAUUAGCUAGUAGGUGAGGUAACGGCUCACCUAGGCGACGAUACAUAGCCGACCUGGGAGGGUGAUCGGCCACACUGGGACUGAGACACGGCCCAGACUCCUGCGGGAGGCAGCGGUAGGGAAUCUUCGGCAAUGGACGAAAGUCUGACCGAGCAACGCCGCGUGAGUGAAGAAGGUUGUCGGAUCGUAAAGAUCUGUUGUAAGAGAAGAACGGGUGUGAGAGUGGAAAGUUCACACUGUGACGGUAUCUUACCAGAAAGGGACGGCUAACUACGUG